RNAcentral lists this ribosomal RNA (254 nucleotides) under uncultured bacterium. RNAcentral describes it as "partial 16S ribosomal RNA". It matches the Rfam family "Bacterial small subunit ribosomal RNA", at positions 524 to 776 of the family's 1533-position model. The record is from RNAcentral.
UACGGGGGGGGCAAGCGUUGUUCGGAAUUACUGGGCGUAAAGGGCUCGUAGGCGGCCAACUAAGUCAGACGUGAAAUCCCUCGGCUUAACCGGGGAACUGCGUCUGAUACUGGAUGGCUUGAGAUUGGGAGAGGGAUGCGGAAUUCCAGGUGUAGCGGUGAAAUGCGUAGAUAUCUGGAGGAAUACCGGUGGCGAAGGCGGCAUCCUGGACCGGCAUUGACGCUGAGUGAGCGAAAGCCAGGGGAGCAAACGGG